CCUACGGGAGGCAGCAGUGGGGAAUAUUGGACAAUGGGCGAAAGCCUGAUCCAGCCAUGCCGCGUGAGUGAAGAAGGCCUUCGGGUUGUAAAGCACUUUCAGUGGGGAAGAAAGCCUUGGGGCUAAUACCCUCGAGGAAGGACAUCACCCACAGAAGAAGCAACGGCUAACUCCGUGCCAGCAGCCGCGGUAAUACGGAGGGUGCGAGCGUUAAUCGGAAUUACUGGGCGUAAAGCGCGCGUAGGCGGUCUGAUAAGCCGGUUGUGAAAGCCCCGGGCUCAACCUGGGAACGGCAUCCGGAACUGUCAGGCUAGAGUGCAGGAGAGGAAGGUAGAAUUCCCGGUGUAGAGGUGAAAUGCGUAGAGAUAGGGAGGAAUACCAGUGGCGAAGGCGGCCUUCUGGACUGACACUGACGCUGAGGUGCGAAAGCGUGGGUAGCAAACAGGAUUAGAUACCCCUGUAGUC
This 465-nucleotide ribosomal RNA is filed under the name Vreelandella stevensii. RNAcentral's name for it is "partial 16S ribosomal RNA". It matches the Rfam family "Bacterial small subunit ribosomal RNA", at positions 338 to 795 of the family's 1533-position model. Lineage: Bacteria; Pseudomonadati; Pseudomonadota; Gammaproteobacteria; Oceanospirillales; Halomonadaceae. The record is from RNAcentral.